Molecule: non-coding RNA, 46 nt
Filed under: Schistosoma curassoni
Lineage: Eukaryota; Metazoa; Platyhelminthes; Trematoda; Strigeidida; Schistosomatidae
Source: RNAcentral
GCACUGCUGAGGAGUCCCACAAUAGGACGAAACAGCUGUCCAGUAU